This 257-nucleotide ribosomal RNA is filed under the name uncultured bacterium. RNAcentral's name for it is "partial small subunit ribosomal RNA". It matches the Rfam family "Bacterial small subunit ribosomal RNA", at positions 26 to 285 of the family's 1533-position model. The record is from RNAcentral.
AGGACGAACGCUGGCGGCGUGCUUAACACAUGCAAGUCGAGCGGUGAUCCUCCUUCGGGAGGUGAUCAGCGGCGAACGGGUGAGUAACACGUGGGCAACCUGCCUCUCACACUGGGAUAACCUCGGGAAACCGGGGCUAAUACCGGAUACGACCUCGAGCGGCAUCUCUUGAGGUGGAAAGCUCCGACGGUGAGGGAUGGGCCCGCGGCCUAUCAGCUUGUUGGUGGGGUAAUGGCCUACCAAGGCGACGACGGGUA